This 26-nucleotide non-coding RNA is filed under the name Mus musculus (house mouse). The record is from RNAcentral. Lineage: Eukaryota; Metazoa; Chordata; Mammalia; Rodentia; Muridae.
AUCCUGUCUGUCGUUGUGCAAAUCGA